GAUGAACGCUGGCGGCGUGCCUAAUACAUGCAAGUCGAGCGAACAGACGAGGAGCUUGCUCCUUUGACGUUAGCGGCGGACGGGUGAGUAACACGUGGAUAACCUACCUAUAAGACUGGGAUAACUUCGGGAAACCGGAGCUAAUACCGGAUAACAUGUUGAACCGCAUGGUUCAACAGUGAAAGACGGUCUUGCUGUCACUUAUAGAUGGAUCCGCGCCGCAUUAGCUAGUUGGUAAGGUAACGGCUUACCAAGGCAACGAUGCGUAGCCGACCUGAGAGGGUGAUCGGCCACACUGGAACUGAGACACGGUCCAGACUCCUACGGGAGGCAGCAGUAGGGAAUCUUCCGCAAUGGGCGAAAGCCUGACGGAGCAACGCCGCGUGAGUGAAGAAGGUCUUCGGAUCGUAAAGCUCUGUUAUUAGGAAAGAACAAAUGUGUAAGUAACUAUGCACGUCUUGACGGUACCUAAUCAGAAAGCCACGGCUAACUACGUG
This 497-nucleotide ribosomal RNA is filed under the name uncultured bacterium. RNAcentral describes it as "partial 16S ribosomal RNA". It matches the Rfam family "Bacterial small subunit ribosomal RNA", at positions 28 to 507 of the family's 1533-position model. The record is from RNAcentral.